UGGGGAAUUUUGCGCAAUGGGGGAAACCCUGACGCAGCAACGCCGCGUGGAGGAUGAAGGUCUUUGGAUUGUAAACUCCUUUCGAGUAGGACGAUUAUGACGGUACUAUUAGAAGAAGCACCGGCUAACUCUGUGCCAGCAGCCGCGGUAAUACAGAGGGUGCAAGCGUUGUUCGGAAUUAUUGGGCGUAAAGGGCGCGUAGGCGGUGUGGCAAGUUUCUCGUGAAAUCUAUGGGCUCAACCCAUAGCCUGCGGGGAAAACUGCCAUGCUAGAGUGUGGGAGAGGUGCGUGGAAUUCCCGGUGUAGCGGUGAAAUGCGUAGAGAUCGGGAGGAACACCAGCGGCGAAAGCGGCGCACUGGACCACAACUGACGCUGAGGCGCGAAAGCUGGGGGAGCAAACAGG
Molecule: ribosomal RNA, 404 nt
Filed under: uncultured bacterium
Lineage: Bacteria
Description: bacterial SSU rRNA
Rfam family: Bacterial small subunit ribosomal RNA
Source: RNAcentral